AAUAAUCCCAUGCCCACCUGAUGAGAAAUGGCGAAGAUUAAACACCACGCUCAAAAAGCAGACGCAGCUCCAUAAAUUCACAAACACCAACCUAUAAAUAACUUGCUGGUUAUGCAGCCAGCCUCCUGUGAUCCCGAAAUCUUACAUCUUACAGCUGCCAUCUGUCUCCAUGGUGAUGGCAUCACAUGACGCAGGGCCCAUUCAUUCAUAGCCAUUUCAGCUUGACAGAAAGGAAAAAGGGGCCAGGAAAGGAAAGAGGGGAGGCAGGUAAGAACUAAUUUGGGAAACAUGACACUGGGGAUCUGCAGGGAGGAAACUUCAAAAUGUGGGAAGAGAUUGACGGAUCUGGCUCAGUUUGCAUGCUAAAGAGGGAUUGUUUGAUAACUUGUGCUUAAUCUGAGCGAAGAUAACCCAUUUCAAUAAAUCAGGGUUAGACUUAGAGAUGCCAGGAGAUCUUGGCAAGGAGAGUUUCAUCAAGUGUUGAUGAUUUGGCUACGAUGCUGAAAUCACAUCUGUCAGAUUUACCUCUGUAUUGUCAAAAUAACCCCAAAGAAGCCAUCAGGGGGAAUAGAAGAUAUUUUACUGCCUCUAGCAGGGCCCCUGGUGGUGGCGCAGUGUGUUAAAGCGCUGAGCUGCUGAACUUGCAGACCGAAAGGUCCCAGGUUCAAAUCCCGGGAGCGGAAUGAGUGCCCGCUGUUAGCCCCAGCUCCUGCCAACCUAGCAGUUCGAAAACAUGCAAAUGUGAGUAGAUAAAUAGGUACCUCUCCGGCGGGAAGGUAACGGCGCUCCAUGCAGUCAUGCUGGCCACAUGACCUUGGAGGUAUCUAUGGACAAUGCCGGCUCUUCGGCUUAGAAAUGGAGAUGAGCACCAACCUCUAGAGUCGGUCACGACUGGACUUAACGUCAGGGGAAAACCUUUACCUUACCUAGUAGCAGAACCCUGAAGUGGAAAGAGAGAUCAUGUUCCCCCUUUACCUUGGCUUCCAUCCACCCAUUCCCCACCAUUAUCCCUAGCCAUGCCCUUUAUGGUGCACCCAUACUGUAGAAUUAAUAGAUUUUGAUACCACUUUAAUUGCCAUGGCUCAAUGCAAUGGAAUCAUGGGAGCUGGGUUUUAUAAACUUCUCUGCCAAAGAGUGCUGGUGCCUCACCUAACUACAAUCCCCAGGACCCCAUAGCAUUGAGUCAUGACAGUUAAAGUGGUGUCAAAAUGCAUGAAUUCUACUAUGUAGAUUAUCCCUAUGUCAGUACUAUCAAAAGUAGUGGCUCCUGGACCAGUGCUGGUCCACAAACUAUUGGCUACCAGCAGAUGGCAAUUUUCAAGAAAAAACAGUUGUCGCUAAUACACACAAAUAUGGUACCAACUUUGGCAUGUUGAAUAGUCUGAGAAGCACUCCUCUGUGCCCCAUGGACCAUAAGAUAGCAGUGCUCUGUGGAGAAUAAUAACAGCUGGACUAAAUGUCUGGUUCUAAAAGCCAAGUAUUGUGGGCUAGAGAUCCUAUCCUGUACUGCCAUCUGACAGAUCUUCAUUGGAAAACUAAUUCAGUUAGACACCACUUUAAUUCCCAUGGCUCUGUGAUAUGCAAUCCUUGGAUUUGCAGUUUGGUGAGGCACCAGCACUCUGUGGCAGAGAAGGGUAAAAACCUUGUGAAUCUACAGCUCACACAAUUCUAUACAGUUGAGCUAUAGCAGCUGUAGUGGUUUCAAAUUGCAUUAAUUCUACAGUGUAGAUGCACUCUGUAGGAGGACCAGCCCUGGCUUGACGCAAAGAAAAAGAUGGCCUCUCUCUCUCUCUCUCUCUCUCUCUCUCUCUCUCUCUCUCCCCCCCCCCCCCCCCCCGCCCAUUCUAGUCAGCUCAGAAUCUGACUAGACUGGCAAUUUAAUCUUAUGAUGGUGCUGCCUAAGUGUCUUUUACAACACUUAAGGGCUGUAGGCUCACUUAUAGGACAUAGGCUAAACCACCUGGCACACAUAACACUGUCCUCCAUCACAAUGCCACUGCAUCCCUCCUUUUUCCAGGAAUUAUGCAGGCUAUUAUAAUAUGAGUGUAUAGUAGGCACAGGAAUAGAUCAUAAGAUAAACAGGAAAACUUAAAGAAAUCUACUGGAGUUGGUCUAUACUUGGUAACAAGAGCCCUAAAUAUGUCAUCUAUCAGGGAUAGCUAGCGACUGUUAUUGGAGUGGGUAUCUCAUGACAAAAGGACAAAGAGAACACUUUCUUGAAGAAGUGGAAUGUAACUAUAUCAGGUAAGAAGGAAGCAAAAGGCUUAAGUAUAUUUUUCAUGUCAGGGGUGACUUGAGAAACUGCAGGUACAUAAGAUCCAAAGAAAGGCAGAGGAGAAACCACUGGUGUGUGUGUGUGGGGGCGGGGGGGGGGGGGGUAUCUGACUCCCUUUUGGUCUUAAUGUUUCUUUGCCUCUGUUUGGUGCCUAUGGUAGAUAUUUCACUCCACCUACUGCUAGGUCCAAGCCUGGCCAUUUAUAUUAGGCCAGUGACCUAUUUAUAUCCUUGUCUUUUCAGUCUAGAGACACUGCAAAAGGAAAGCUCCAUGUAUUAAAAUUUUCACAACGUAAACAUCUCCCUGUUCUGAAAUGGAGCUCUUCAUUAGUGCCGUAGAGAGAUGGAGAAGAGAUAGGAAAAUAUUUCCCCCUUUGGAAGUUGCUGCUUGAUGCAAUAACUGUAACUGUUUCAUCUCAAGGCCAACCCUGACCCAAAACAGCUCUUAUUUUUCAACAGUUCAUAGUCAUGAACUGUUUAAUAGUGACUUCCCUUCCCUAUGGACUCCCAUAUGCUCUAGUUAUUCCUAUUAGGGGUUGAACAAGAUCGAGAUAUCUUAGGAGCUUAUUGCACCAUUCUUUUAUGCCACAUUAUUCUACAUGAAAUCUGCUACAGCCAACCUUGCAAUUGGAUUGUUGUGAGUUUUCAGGGCCAUGUUCCAGAAGCAUUCUCUCCUGACGUUUUGCCCACAUCUAUGGCAGGCAUCCUCAGAGGUUGUGAGGUAUAUUGCAAUUGUUGGCACUCUCUAUUGCACCCUGCUGUAUUUGUGCUUUAAGAAUAUGACUUGUGUGUUUUAUCUGCAUUAAUGGAGCCAAUACACUGUUUUUAAGGCAUCGAAUAGUUGCCUAUGUGUAAAGCCACCUUGAGUCCCCUCUGGCAUUGAGAAAGGCAGGGUAUAAAUGUUGUAAAUAAAUAAAUACAUUAUCAACUCUUUUACUGCUACUCAUGUUUUAUGGUUGGCUCUUCUUUUUUUAAAAAAUGAAGCCAUAAUCGUGAAUGAGAAAAACAGUAUGAUGGUAGGAUGUGUGAUAACAAUAUGAUGUUAUAACACCAACCAAACAAAUAUCCACAGCCAGAAGAGGUUGUUUAAAGGGGUUUUAGCCAUACUAUAAAAGUGUUCUUCCCUGCCUGAGCACCAGAAGCAGUCUUGGGUUUCUUUGCUAGAGAUUUCCGUGGAAAGUCUUGUGGGAGGGAGAACCUGGCCACAUCCACAUCAUGUCUAUUAAUGGAUUGUUCAUAGAAGAAAGCUCUGUGAGAUAUCUGCACCCAAACUGGUUACCGAAUUAUUGCGGGAAAAAGAGAUCCUUUCCAGCAUGGGGAAAAAACACAGAUUCACAAUUACCCUAUAAUGCAACAAUGUCUGGAAAGCAAAGAUGCCUUGUGAUAAGGCUGAAACAAAAGCAAGAUUAAUGCAUUGGUAUGACAAUGUAAUAACAUGGUGUGAUAACAACCGAAGAAGAACUCAGUUCUCAUUUUGAUUGAAUGGGGAUUGUGACUCAGACGGACAAAUCAGGAAUGACUUUGUAGUACAUUCCUAAUCUUGGGAUUUCCCACUGUGCUGGAGUACAACUCCCAUUAUUCCCCAUCAGCAGGAAGAUGGUUUUCCAUGACAGAUCUAGGGGUGUUAUGGGAGGAGAACCCUUUAAAUAAUGGUCUGGAAGAUUAUCUGCUCAGUUUUAAUGAGUCAUGGGGAUGGGGCAGGUUGGGAGGAGUGUGAGACAUCCAUAUAAUCCAGGGGCCAUAUAUUAUUAAUUCUUAUUGCAGAAUUGUAUUUAUUUAUUUAUUUUACAGUAUUUAUAUUCCGCCCUUCUCACCCUGAAGCGGACUCAGGGCGGAUUACAAUGAACAUAUAUAUGGCAAACAUUCAUUGUUAUCAGACAAACAACACACAGAGACAUUUUACAUUCCAGCUUCACGAUUCCGGCCACAGGGGGAGCUGUUGCUUCAACGUCCACUAGUGACUGUACUUCCUCAUUCCUUUUCCAACAUGUUGCUGGCAGUUUUGUGGUGUUGUUAAUUAGUUAAAUUAGCCUCCCGCAUAAAGCGUACCUAAAUUUCCUACUUGACAGAUGCAACUGUCUUUCAGGCUGCAUAGGUAACACAGCAAGCCGGGCUAUUUAAUGGUCGGGGGUUUAACCCGACCCGGGCUUCGAACUUAUGACCUCUCUGUCAGUAGUGAUUUAUUGCAGCUGGUUAAUGAUGCAAACAUGGACUCCAAUUUAUUGGCAAUAUGUGGCAAUUUGUCCUCAAAUGUUGCUCUUCCUUGUAGGAUCAGAUCAAAGUUUCUAUCUGGGCAUGUAAUCUGUCUCCCACAAUCACAAACCAGACAAUACUUCUUUGCAUUUUGCAGCAAUUGCAGUGUUUUCUGCUGGACUUUAAUUUUCAUCUAAUCAGACCAAAUUUUAGUAUUUCUUUCCUUCAUUUUAGAAAGCAAGAAAUUGUUUUAAUGUCAAUUCAAUAAUCAGGCCAAGGCAAAAAUUCCACAAUCAAUUGCUAACAAGCAAACAGAUUAGUGAAGAGCCACAGUUCAUAGCUCUCCAUGUUCAGCCAACACAGAUACUAAUGAUGGGCAGUCAAACAUGAAGUUGCAUCUGUUUUUCUUUUUGUUUUUUGUUUUUUUGCUACCACUUUCCAGGAACAGCUCAGGGCUAUUCUUUCUCUCUAUUUGGUGACUGCCUAGUUGGCACAGUGAAGUAAAGCAGAUGGACAUAGGUUUGCAGGCAGUUAUUCUGAAAGCCAGUAAUUCAUAGUUUGGUAGUAAUGUGCUGUGAAUAGAUAGAUGAGUGAAUAAAUAGAUAAAUAACUUGGGGCUUAUAUUUACUCAAUUCCAUUUUGGAAUAAUGAAGGUAUAAGAAUGUUAUACUCUGAUGAUAAUUUAACAAGGGAUAACUUCCCUUCUUUUACAGUGCAACUAAAGCUUAAAUGAGUUCCAAUUGGAGAUGAACUACCUGGAUUUAUGUAAAUGUUGUCUUAUCCUAUAGCAAUUAAUUCUGUGAGUGAACUCCAGUUGAGCCUAGCAACUGGAUUUAGGCCUAAAACAACAAAUUUUUAAAGUUAUUCUGCAGUUACUCCGUUUGUACUCGCUAAAUGAUUUGGAUGGUGUGAUCUUAAUUGUUGUUUUAACCAUUUAUAUUUUAAUUGUUUGGUUUUAAUUGUAACUGUUUAUUUUGAUGUAUGUGUGCAUGGCAUCAAAUUGCUGCCUGUUGUAAGGCCGCCUUGAGUCUCCUUCAGGGUGAGAAGGGCUGGGUACAACUAUGGCAAAUAAAUAAAUUGCUGAUAAGCAACACUGCAUGGCUUAAGUGUUGCCUUCUGUUCAGCUGGGAGAAGUUGAGGCAGCAACAAGAUUGAUAGUGCAUUUUGUACAAUAAGCCAGCAUCUUGUCAUAUUCCAUUUUUUAAAAGUAACUACACUUACUUUACUAAGUAACUACAGCGGACCCUUGGUACCAACUGGAGUUUAAUUCCAGGACCGCCCGUUGAUAUCAAAAAUCUGUACUUACUCAAGUGCCAUUAUAUACAAUGACAUAGUAAGGCAGCAUCCUUUAUAUAAAAUGGCAAAACUCAAGAUUUGCUUUUCAGAAUUUAGUUUUUUUGGGGGGGAUAUUUUCAAGUCCAUGGAUGGUUGACAGAGGUUACAGAAUACAUGACUAUGGAGGUCUGACUGUAAAUGUAACUAAUCAUUCUUUUGAAAUGAGAAAGUAAAGUGUUAUUUAAAAAAUGGAACCACAACAAAAACUACAAAUUGUCACCAUUAUAAAUAUUACUGCAGAAAAUUAGAAGAAUAACGGUUACCCUUUUUUAAAAGUACUUUCCCAAGCUCUGGACUAGCUCUGGACAAUAUUUUUUACUAUAUGAAAGCAUUGUAUUCCAGCUCUCUGGAUGCUGCUGAGGUCUUUGAGAAGAGACUGAAGGAUGGAGAUGAAACGAAGUCCUGUUUCUGUAAAUAUACUCUCCUCUGUUCCUGAAGGCUUCCUGCUGAAGCUUGUGCUUCAGAAAGAGCAGCUCGUGUUUCACGGCUGUCAUGUGAUCCCCACUCCCUAGUAUAUUUUAAGCCUCUCCUUGACGUCACACUCUUUCCAUCGCAAUAGGAUUCUGCUCAGACUUUUUUUAAGGAUUAGACUUCUACUCUAUAGCUUGCUCCUGUUUAUUAUUCCCAUCACCAUAAGGCUUUGGGUGCUUAAUAAUGCUGAUAAUAACAUUAAGAACUAGCUGCAAUGCAAAUCAAGAGGGGGAGGUGACGUUCUUCUUGCUCUUUAUUCUUCUGGUCACGACAAAAAAUCACUUCUCCUGAGUCACGCUGACCAGCCUCUCCUGUUAUAAAAUCAUAGAGUCAUAGAGUUGGAAAAGACCACAUGGGCCAUCUAGUCCAAUCCCCUGCCAUGCAGGAAGGGCACAAUCAAAGCACCCUUGACAGAUGGCCAUCCAGCCUUGAUUAAAAGCCUCCAAGGAAGGAGCCUCCACCACACUCUGCGGCAGAGUUCUACUGUUGGACAGCUCUUAUGGUCAGGCAGUUCUUCCUAACGUUUGGGUGGAAUCUUCUAUCCUGUAAUUUGAACCCAGUGCUCUGAGUACUAGUUUCCAGGGCAGCAGAAAACAAGUCUGUUCCCUCUUCCUUAUGACAGCCUUUCAAAUAUUAAAACGUGGUGAUCAUGCCUCCUCUCAAACUUCUCUUCUUCAGGCUAAACAUCUCCAGCUCUUUAAGCCGCUCCUCAUAGGGCAUGAUCUCCAGGCCUUUGAUCAUUUUAGUCACCCUCCUCUGGACACCCUUCAGCUUGUCAAUAUCUCUUUUAAACUGUGAUGCCCAGAAUUGGACACAGUAUUAUAGAUGAGGUCUGACCAAAGCAGAAUACAAAGGCACAAUGACUUCCCUAGAUCUAGACACUAUACUGUUUUUGAUGAAGUCCAAAAUCCCAUUGGCUUUUUAUGCUUUUGCAUCAUGCUGUUGAAUCAUGAUCAAUUUGUUGUCCACAAAGACUCCAAGUUCAUUCUCACAUUGUUGAGUCAGGCAUCACCCACUCCAUAUCAGUGCAUGUCUUUGUUUCUAUCUAAGUGAAGUAUCCUACACUUCUCCUUGUUGGAAUACAUUUUGUUAGUUUUGGCUCAGCAAUGUAAUCUACUGAUGUCAUUUUGAAUUCUGAUCCUGUCUUCUGGAGUAUUAGCUAUCCCUCCCAAUUUGGUGUAAUUUGCAAACUUGAUAAGCAUGCCCUCUAAACCUUCCUCCAAGUCAUUAAUAAAGAUGUUGAACAGUACUAGUCCCAGGACCGAACCCCGGGGCACUCCACUAGUCACUUCUUUUCAGAAUGAAGUGAAACCAUUGGUGAGCACCCUUUCGGUUGCUUAACCAAUUACAAAUCCACCAUAUAAUAGUAUUAUCUAGUCUACAUUUUACUAAUUUGUUUGCAAGAAGACCAUGGGGGACCUUGUCAAAGGCUUUACUGAAAUUGAUAUGCUACAUCCACAGCAUUCCCUGCAUCUACCAUGCUUGUAACUCUAUUGAAAAAAAAGAGAUAAGAUUAGUCUGGCAUGACUUGCUUUUCAGAAAAGGGUGUUGUUGACUUUCAGUCAUCACAGCAUUUUUUUUAAGUGAUUGCAGACUGCUUUCACAAUGAUCUGCUACAGAACCUUUCCUGGUAUUGAUGUCAGGCUGGCUGGACAGUAAUUGUUUGGGUCCUUCCCCCCCCCGCCCCUUGAAGAUAGGGACAACAUUUGCCCUCCUCCAGUCUGCUGGGACUUCCAAGAAUUCUCAACGAUUAUUACCAGUGGUUCUGAAAUGACUUCUGCUAGUUCCUUCAACGUUCUUGGAUGUAGUUCAUCUGUCCCUGGAGACUUGAAUUCAUUUGGAGUAGCCAGGUAUUUCUUGACUACUUCUAUACCCAUUUUGGGUUGCAUUUCCCCUAUUACCUCAUCUGCUCCAUAUUGCUCAGGUCGGACACCAAUCUCUUUUUGGGAAAAGACUGAGGCAAAGAAGGUGUUGAACAGCUCUGCCUUUUCCCUAUCACCUGCUAGCAUUUCACCACCUUCUCCACGCAGAGGCCCCACCAUUUCCUUUUUGUUUGUUUUUUUUUUUACUUUUUCUUCCUACUGACAUAACCAAAGAACCAUUUUAAUUGUUUUUAAUCUCUCUACAAGCUUGAGCUCAUUUAUGCUUUAGCCUUUCACACCUUUUCCCUACAUGUGUUGGUUAUUUGUUUGAAUUCCUCUUUGGUGAUCCCCCCCUUUGCAUUUCUUGUGCAUAUCUCUUUUAAAUCUUAGUUCUGUUAAAGGUUCUUUGGUGAAAUGUCCUAAAACACUUCACCAAAGCUUCUUUUCUCAUCUCUUGAACAGUGCCAGCAGUGAAGGGUGCUAAAGACCUAUGCUUCAUACAUUAAAAUGCCUCUUCCUUGUUCUGUGUCAGCUUGACCUUGCUAAAGAAAAAGGAAAGAAAAUAGUUUGUGGGUUAGGUUAGUACAAAUUGAGUAUUCCUUAUCUACAGUGUCUGAGACCAGAAGUACUUUGGAUUUCAGAUUCCCCCCCCCCCCAUUUUAGAAUAUUUGUAUGUACACAAGGAGUUAUGUUGGAUAUGGGAACCAAAUCUAAGCACAAUAUUCAUGUAUGGUUCAUGUACAUUUUAUGCACAUAGCAAUAUUUUUAAUAAUUCUGUGCAUUAAACAAAGUGUUUAUACAUUGAACCAUCAGAAAGCAGAGGUGUCACUAUCUCAGCAACCCAUGUAGAUGAUUUUAGACUUGAAGAAUUUCAGAUUUUAGAUAAUGGAUACUCAACCUAUAUCAUCACUAUUAAGAACUCCAGUGGGAUCCACAAUUCCUUCGGGUGAGAGAGGUGUGGGAAUAGAGAUGAACAGCUGGUCAGGGGUUGAUGCAGGGGACUAGAGACAUAUAACAAAGAUCCACAUUGCACCUUCUAAUAAGCACUGUAUACUGUAUAAGAAGGCAAUAUUUGUGUGUAUUUAAUGCCUACUGAAACACAAUCAAACUUCCUUUCUAGGCCAUCAGUCAUCAGUAGACGUACAGACCUCUAGAGCUUUCUACAACUCUGUGUCUCUAUCUCAGCCAGACUCCCAGAAUGAAAUAUUCUUAUUUUUUGGACUCCAACUCCUGGGGUAUAUCCCCUAGGUACAAUAAAAGCAGUCAAUGUCAUCAUUUUAAUUGCAUUGAUUCUCUCUGAUGGAAUUUUGAGACUUGCAAUUUCACAAGGUGCUCAGAAUUCUUGAGUACAAUCCCCUUGAACUACAACACAAGAUCUCUUUCUGAGGAAAUUAUAAGCCCUUCAUAGAAAUGCAGAACAAACAAUUCUAUAAGAUGGAGACUAGUAAUUAAAAUGGUAUCAAAGCCAGCAUGAUGUUGGGUGUUGUGAAAGGAGUCAAGGAUACUAGGGUUCAAAUUUUCACUUGGAAACAGACUCGAUGAUUGUGAGCAAGUCACAUACUCUCAACUUCAGGUGAAGGCAAUAGUAAACUGGUUCUGAACAAAUCUUGCCAAGAAAACUUCUUAGAGUCUCCAGGAAUCAGAAAUGACUUGGAGGAACACCACAACAUCAACACAAGGACAAUAAUUAUUGUUUGGACAUGCCUUAACAUUUUUAGCCAACAUGGUAAGUAGCUGGGGAUACUUGGAGUUAUAGUCCAAAAGGUUACUUUUCCAGGCUCUGCUUUGAGUUCUCAAUUAUCCCAUUCUCAUUUUGCUUUCCCCCAUGACUCCUUUGCUUCCUCUGUCCUGCUUUGCACCCAAUGCAUACUAAUACGAAGGAAAGGGCAAGCCAGGCAAGUGAUGGAGUUGUCAGUGGCUACUGCUGCUAUUCUUUUUUCUUGUGGUUACCAUUAGUUGGUUCAAUGUUUAAAGAGUCUUAGGGUACAUGGGGAGCCAAAGGAAGGAGAAAAAGAUGAGGGAUGUGGCAGCUAGAGGUUCCAGAAGUGCAGAUCAGCAUUAGGCCUAUAGGAGUGUGGGCAUAGAUAAGCCUUUGGAAAUGCCAGCCCUGAGCCCAUCCUCAGUUAAAUACACUUAAAACUGCAGGCGGGCACAUAUUUUUAGGAAAGAUCAUGACACAUUUCUCUGUUCCUGUAUUUUUGUUCAUUCGCUCAUCCUUCUUGUAGUUAUUUGUCCCAGCUUGCUACCUGGUUUUAUGAGUCAGUCUUCAAUUUGAGACAGCAGCACUGAGGAGUUUCCAAAACAUAGGAAUUGCACAUUAGUUCCUUCCCUUCAGGUGUGUUCUGUGAAAGAAACUGUGUAGAACAGUUAGAAAUCCUGAUUAAGAUGUCAAGGCACCAAUGAUCUGGAAAACAAAUAAAAACUUUAUUACAGGAAUUCCCUUCUCGAUUGGAAAAUUACUCAGGCACUAAUCUAAACAGAGGCCCCUCUGACCUCGAAGGGACCCCCAGCAGCCCAGCCGGACCCCCGUUUCCUGACAGACACCCCUCAGGCGGUGACAGGGCUACAGCAAGAGGAGACCCCCAGCACACUGAUGCCCUCGGAGCCCCCCUUCACCCCGGGGGCUGCAGUGGGCCGGCCAGGGAGACCCCCAACGCCCCAGCAAGGGGCUGCUCCCAGCCAGCCGGCCCCCCGGGGGUCCUCCUCUCCGUCCCACACCACCCUCGCCAUCGUCAGCCUCCUGGGAAUCGCGCUCGUCUUGGUGGCCGUCGUGGUUUCCUUGGUUUGCCGGAGGAGGAGGAGGCGUCAGGAGGGGCCACUCCACCCUGCUGCCCUCGGUGAGGAGACCCAUUGGCUGAACCUUCCCGAGAAGACCUGAAGCCAAAGCUAGCGCACUUUAGUUGCCGGGACCACUUUGUGACGGAGGGGCCGACCACGUUUAUUUAUAUGUCUGUCUGUCUGUCUGUCUAUACUGAGUCCUUGAAGGUACUCCCCCCCUUCCUCCCCCUCCCCUCCUCUGCAUUUCCACUUCCUGUUUUGUUUUCUUUUCACAAAGAAUAUAAAUAAUGGCUUAUUUUUUUAAGCCUGCCCUGCCUUUGUGAGUUUUGUGGCCAUGCCAUUCCUUGUGGGGUGCCCCAUUGAAAAGCACCUUAAAUGUUUAUUUAAAUGUACAAUUAUGCAGGUUUUUAAUGUAUAUUUCAAUUUUUAUUGUAAUUUUUUUUAAGUUUGAAAGACUUUUAAAUCUGAUGUAAACUGUUUUUCUGAAGUAUAUGUUUAUAUUGUAAGCCGCCCUGAGUCCCCUGAUGGGUGAGAAGGGCGGGGUAGAAGUGAUGCAAUAAAUAAAUAAAUAAAUAGCUUCAUUGUAGCAAAGUGCUGAGAGAGAACUGAUGGGUAGAGAAGAAAUCGGGAAAUAUCCAGUUUACAUCAUCUUAGGUAGACUCACACUGGAGCUUUCACGUGGGCAGCCCCGUUCUUCUGGUACGAGCAGAAUUCUGGGAAAUGUAGUUUAGGCCUUUUGAAAACUCUGCUACAGAGGUCCUUGCCUUCCCAAACUACAUUUCUCUGAAAUCGGCUCACACCGGAAGAACAGGAUUGCCUGCAUUACAGCCCCAAUGUGAUAUGGCUGAUAGAGGGAGGACACUUUGAGUCACUGCAUCUUUGUUAUUUAUACCAGCUCUGAGGCAUUUUUGACUCUUCAAUGCUAAGUGUUGUUUGCACUUCCAACAUUCUGUAAAGCACCGAAAGAAGGCUAAGCAUAUGUGGGAUCAAGUACACAAAAAGCCUACAACGGGUAAAACUCAUCAGCAGGAUUAAGUACAUCUAUUUGCACCUUACCUAGCGGUUAGCAUCCACCCAGUUAAAUUGCUGUUUUCCAUCUCUCCCCCAACAAUUUUAGCCUAAUUUUAGAGAUUUUAAAUGAUAUUUUAAAGAUUUAAUAAUAAUCAUGUGGAUUAUUUUAUGUCUUGUUUAUUUAUGUCAGUUUAUAAUUUACUGAGUUGUUCUUGAUUCAUUUCUUGAUUUGUUUACAUGUUACUAUCGGCACUGAAUAUUUGGGGAGAUAGGGUGGGUUAUAAAUAAGGUUUCAAACCUAUUCCAAGGAGAGAUUGGUGUAUUUGUUUGGUACUUCUGUUUUUGUACCACCAGCCCUGCCCCAUGCUGACACAUUUUCAAUUAUAACUUUAAUAUUUUGGGGGGGGGGCACACAAAUCGGUCCUUCUAGGACAUGAGUGGAGGCAUAGCAGAAUCAGCUUAUCAUUGUACUAGAACAGAUAGCCAAGUCCAGUGAAAAGCAAUCUGAGUACCUGCGAGCAGUAAUGAUGCUUUCCACAUGCCCAGAUACGACUGAAAUAGAAGUACCAGCCCACCUGACCAAUGACUUUUUAGUUGUAAAAGAAAAGGGUCUAGAAUUUGUCACUGUUCUCAAAGUUGCUAUGAUGAGUAAUCUAGACAUAAGCGUGAAAAUCACCUCAGUCCGUUUCUAAGCAACUCUUUGAAGAGGUGCCAAAGAGCUACACCAAAGCACACAAGCCAUUUUGUUGCUAUUUAUUUUGCAGGAUUGAGGAGUUCUUGCUAAUUUUGGGCAUCCUGGGCCAGCCAUGUCUUGAACUGUGGAACACACAGCUGAAUGUAUUGUUCAAUUAUGAUAGCAUAGCAUCCUUGUGGGAAGGCUGCUGAAAACAUCACUGACUCAUACAUACAGCUUUAUUUGGGGAAAACAAGGGUGAGAAACAUGCACCCUGCCAAAUGUUGCUGGAUUGUUACUACUGGAAUUCCUCGCUACUGAUUUAUGGGCGGCUGGGACUUACAGUCCAGAGCUAUUUGGAAUGUUCCAUGGCUUUCACUUUUGAAGCAGACCCUAAUAGCCAUUGACAAGCCUUGCUGUAAUGCUUAUGAAUUCACAACAAAUAGGUACCCGUCACAAUCAGUUUUAAAAAUAAAAGAUUUACUGCCAUUUUUGUGAAUAGUGUUAGCUGAGCCUUAAUACUUUUCUUCAUUAUACAGUACAGUAUUAUCAUUUUAGUCAUGGUGUUGUUAUGAGAGCUCAGCUCCACUAAAACUGCAGGUUCAAGGCCCAGAGUGCCAAGCUUCCAAAGGACCAGGUAAGACACAGAUGGACUGAAGGCAAAAUCAAUGGCUUUAUUCUCAUGACCAGAGGGUGUCAGCAGACAGAGUUCUCCAAAGAACCAACACAACACAAUUGCAAAUACAGAGCUUUUUCCCUAUUUGACAGCUAUUCAAGAAAUCUGAGCCACAUCUUUAUUGACAUGGAUCCAGCUAGGAUCCAUGUCCUAGAUAGUUCAGGACUCUGUCUGAUACCAUCGCCUGUUGGCUGCUCAUGGUGGCAGGAAAUUUAAUAAGCUGUCAUUGAAGCAUUUGAAGUAUUGGUCCAUUUAUUGAUCUGCCUCUGAAAGAAGCAUGAUCAGAAAGGAAUGUGGUGUGGCAACUGCCAAAAGGACUGUAAUGGGAUUCAUGGUUUGGCUUUGGUGGACACAAUGGUAACAGUCUAGAGUGCACAAUAGGUACUUGAACAUGAAAAAUAUUCCAUUUCUUGAUCAAAAUACCUUGACAAUGUGACACAGUAUUUAUUUCCGGUAUUUCUACCCUGCCCUUCUCCCCUGGGGGACUCUGGGCGGCUUACAAAUUGGCAACAAAGUGCCAUCACAUCAACAAUACAAUACAAAAGCCAUUAAAAACUAAAAACAUUUAAAACAUCAUAAAAACCAAUAUGCAAUAAUAAAACAUUACCAUGCACCAAGGUAAUGUCCUUUCAUUCACUAGACCUUGUUAAUCCAGAGUCUUAAAAACCGACUGUGCCAAGCUCGAAGUUCAUUCAUUGAAUGCUUGAGCACAUAGCCAUGUCUUUAGUUUUUUUCUGAACCCUAGAAGGGAAGGAACCUGCUGGAUGUCACUGGGGAGGGAGUUCCACAGCAAACAUGCUCUUUAUAUUUGUGACUUUAUAUAGAAAACCUGUGUAGUAUAUAAACAUUGGUUUCUAAGCUUGCAUUAUAUGCUAGCUAUGCAUGCUGCAGUAUUGGAGGUGGGGGUUGGGGUUCACUGAAUCCAUUUUGGUGACUCUUGCUCUCAUCACCAACCUUUUUGAUGCAUUUUGGAUCAUUAAACAAUAGGCUUGAUCGAUCCAUGAAAAAUUUGAUUCUAAACUCGUUUCAAAACUAGAGGGGGGCAGCGUUUCGUUUCUGAAGGUAUUUCCGAAUUUUGCCCCCCAAAAAAUUCGAAAUUAACGAAAAUUCGUUAUUUUCAAAAUUAAUUCGUUAAUGGCAGACGCGCAUGCGCAAUUCCCAAAAACAGCACAGAGGGAGAGGACUUUACAGGACUCUCCCACCCUCAUUUUUUGAGUGAUCUUCUUCAAACUUGGUACAGUGGUAGAACACAUUUAGUACUGAUAGCUCACCAAAAUUUGGAACGUUUCCCUUAUCCUCUGAUUUUUGGAGAAUUUUCAUAGCUUUUAUAAUAAACCAUUUUUUAAUAAUUGCAGAAAUCUGUUCCUGGUUUGAAAGUCUUAUUUCCUGUUAAAUUGGGUUGUCUUUACUGUGAAAGUCAUUGUUCUACUUCAGAAACUUUGUUUUUGUGGCUGAAACUUUGUUAAAUUGGUGUGUGUGUGAUAUAUACUGUGUAUAUAUAUAUAUAUAGUCCCUGCAUAUGUGUGUGUGUGUGUGUGUGUGUAUAGGUAAAGGUAAAGGUAUCCCUUGACAUUAAGUUCAGUCAUGUCUGACUCUGGGGGUUGGUGCUCAUCUCCAUUUCUAAGCCCAAGAGCCAGUGUUGUCCAUAGACACCUCCAAGGUCAUGUGGCCGGCAUGACUACAUGGAGUGCCAUUACCUUCCCAGAAACACCCAGAAAAUGGGAAUUCCAGACAGGAAACAAUCAGGGCCAGCUAAUACCUCCCAACAAAGGAUUCCCCCAGGUAGGAAGCAGCCAGGCUUUGAAGCUGCAAGGCUAUUCAAUGCUAAUCAAGGUGACUAAUUGCAGCAUUCACACUUGCCUCCCACAGACAAGAGUUCUUUCUCCCACCCUGGACCUUCCACAGAUAUAUAAACCCCACUUGCCUAGCUUCGCACAGACGUCAAAACCUCUAUGUCUGCCACAGAUGUGGGUGAAACGUCAGGAGAGAAUGCUUCUGGCACAUGGCCAUAGAGCCCGGAAUACAUACCACAACAGUGUGAUCCCGGCCAUGAAAGCUUUCGACAACACAACCACAAAAUAAGAAAAAACGGCCUCUUGCGAUUCGAAACCGCGAUAUCCAGACGUGUGGACAAUCAAGGCCGUAUAUUGCUUCAAAACAAACGAAAAUAACGAAUUAAUAACGGGUAACGGGGAAAUCGAAUUAUUUGAGCAAGCCUAUUAAACAAUACCAGCUUCCAAUUCUGGUCACAUCUCCAUUUCUCUGGCUUUGUGUUUACAAACAGAAUUACUGCUGUGUACUAAUUAAAUACUUCGUGACUACCAAUUUAAUUUUAUUCAUAGGGAUUAUUCCAGCUCUGUUUGGAGGGGAAGGGUAGAGAGUAAAGUGCCAUUAUAAAUGUCUGGGCUCUGUUAUUAGAGCAGGGCUAGAUGCUGAGCUGCAUGUUUUUGAUACCACUUGGAAGUGCAUUGGAAAAGGGUUUUGCACAAACAAGGAGUCCAGGACGACCUCCUUUAAAAAAAACAUUUUCCUACAUGAUGGUUAAUUUCCAUAUAGAAAAAGAUAUAAGUUUGGUUAUUCAUAUUGCUGAUGGCUCCAUAGGCAGGAAAAUUCUCACUAUACCCUUCUGAGUAAUUUCUUGAAAAAUUAACUAAAACAGUUUGAAACAAUAACUCAGAAUAAAGCCAUUACCAUAAAAGUCAGCAUUUUUUAAAUUUAAAAAUCUUGUAAAGCAGGCAAUUUUUUUUAAAAAAAACUUUACAAGGUAGGCAGUUUAUAACCCUACAGAAGUUAUUGUACUGCAACUCAUAAAAUUCAUCUCCCAUUAGCUCCUGUUGUUUAAGGAUGGUAGGAAUUUCAUUCAUAUAGUAUCUGAAAAGGGAACAUUUGCUGUGUACUCUUACCUUUGAACUACAGGCAGAUUCCUUUCCCCCCCAUAUUUACUAUCAGAGGGAUUAAGGCUCCAUUUACACUGUCAUAUAAUGCAGCUUGAAACUGCAUUAUAUGAGUUACACUAACCAUUAUAUGAUUAGUGUUGACUGAUAUAAUGCAGUUUUAACUGCAUUAUAUGAGUCUACACUGACCAUAUAAUGCAAUUUCAAACUGCACUACGAUGACAAUGUAGAUGGGGAGUUAUGGAAACCUGAGAGAAUUAAGGUCUCUGAAGUAAUACACUAUGUCAUAGACUCCACAGCACCUUUAGACAUCACCAUACCCAAAUUAUAAUGGCUAUGUAAUAUAACAAAUUGUAUGACUACAGUAGAAUCUCGACUUAAGAACAUCCCAACUUAUGAGUGUUUUGAGUUAAGAGCCAUCACCCAACCCAGGUUUCACUUUGACAUACUAGCAGAGUUUUGAGUUAAGUGCUAGUGCCAGAGUACAUGGCUUUAGGGGUUCAAGAGAGCAGCCUCUGUGCCUUGUGCCUCAUGCUCUUGUUGCUUUGGGAUAUUGUUGUCUGCUUUGCUCUUGUUCGCUUUGAGGAACAUUAGGUUAGUUGAUUUUGUGUGGUUUUAAUUCCUGGUAUGUUUGGCUUCAAGAAGAGAGAGAAGGAAAGAGAGCAAGAGAAGGAGGGAGGCUGGAAUGAGCUAGCGGAUAGUUAAUUCAGAGGGAUACUAUGACAAAUUGAAAUCCAUGUCAUUCAUCAAGCAGCUUACAGAAAUCAGCUUAAGCCAUGUGAAGAAACAGCAACUAGCUAAAAUCUAGAGAAGAUUCAAGUUGGGGAGUAAAUACUAUAGUUCUGCUUAGAAGGUGAGUGAUACUAAUCUCUCGUGUGUAGUUAUCAGUGGCUAAAAACUCAGUGGCACACAGUACUUUCCCUAAUAUGUUGCCAUAUUUUUGUCUAGAAAAGGUGUAUGGUGGUGAUGGUUCACAGUUCUUCAAAAUGUUUGCUUCAGUACAAAACUGGGAAGCUGACACAUGCACAGUUGGAGUUCCUGCCUGUGUUAUCUGAAAACCAGCUAGCCAUUUGCAGACAUGCAGUCCUCUUCCACCUGCUUUUUCUAUAAAAACAAAGAACACGGUUAGAUUUAAGAUACAAAGGGAUGAGGUAUAUAGGGGGGAAAAUCCAUGGCAACGAGCAUCCUCCAGUACUCUCAGGCCUGCCAGAGAAAUUCACAGGAUGUUGAUGGAGACCUUGAGAUAUUAUAUCUGCGAUAUUGCUCUUUUAAAUUGCAGUGUCAGAGCUGGCACUAGUGCAAAGUGCACAUUGAAUCACAUGUAACCUGAUAGUGGGUGGAUUUGAUGUAGAAUCAGUUUUAGCUGUGUGCUUUUUUCUAAUGUUAAUAACAUUAUGUUAUUUAUCAGAGCACAACUGAAACAAUUUUGCUUUUCUUUAAAGCCCUCCCUUUCUGCUGCCGUUUCAGGAAAUGUGCACAAACAUGUUUAGAAAGACAGACAGGACAAUCUGUUGCCAAGAGAAUUUGGCUGAUGCUUCCUGCUUUAUUGCUCUGAUCUAUCAGAGUAUUAAAUGACAAGAGAAGUAGCCUAACAUAGGAACUAAUGGUUUAUGAACCAGCCUAUUGCCCGUGUUACCUUUACAUCUAUAUAUAUAAAAGAGUGAUGGCAUCACGGCAAUUCACAAAACAACAAAAGUACAGGCCCCCCAACCUCAAAAUUUGACAACACAACCCAUCAUCCACGCCUCAAGGUUGAUACAACAAAAAGAAAAGAAAAAUAAAGUCCUAAUUAGAGGGAGAGCAAUAAUAGUUUUUAUCCAAUUGCUGCCAGUUUAGAGGGCUAAUCUCUGCCCACUUGGUUGCCUAGCAAUCAAGGGACAGCCAGGUUUCAGUUAGGGGACAGGCGGAUGUAGGCCUCAGGCUUCUUCCACAGAUUAUCUAAUUUGCACUGGAUUAUAUGGCAGUGUAGACUCAAGGCCCUUCCACACAGCUAUAUAACCCAUUUAGAAUCUUAUAUUAUCUGCUUUGCACUGGAUUAUCUUGACUCCGCACUACCAUAUAAUCCACUUCAGUGUGCAUUUUAUCCAGCUGUGAAGAAGGGGCCUCAGAUAAUCCAGUUCUGAGCAGAUAAUUUAAGAUUAGAAAUAUACAGUAGAGUCUCACUUAUCCAACGUAAACAGGCUGGCAGGAUAAGUGAAUAUGUUGGAUAAUAAGAAGAGAUUCAGGAAAAGCCAAUUAAACAUCAAAUUAAGUAAUCGUUAUACAAAUUAAGCACCAAAACAUCAUAUUAUACAACAAAUUUGACAGAAAAAGUAGUUCCAUGCGCAGUAAUGCUAUGUAGUAUUUACAGUAGAGUCUCACUUAUCCAACACUCGAUUAUCCAACGUUCUGGAUUAUCCAACGCAUUUUUGUAGUCAAUGCUUUCAAUAUAUCGUGAUAUUUUGGUGCUAAAUUCAUAAAUACAGUAAUUACUAUAUAGCAUUACUGUGUACUGAACUACUUUUUCUGACAAAUUUGUUGUCUAACAUGAUGUUUUGGUGCUUAAUUUGUAAAAUCAUAACUUAAUUUGAUGUUUAAUAGGGUUAUCCUUAAUCCCUCCUUAUUAUCCAACAUAUUCGCUUAUCCAACGUUCUGCUGGCCCGUUUAUGUUGGAUAAGUGAGACUCUACUGUACUGUAUUUACAAAUUUACCACUAAAAUAUCUCAAUGAAUUUAAAACACUGACUACAAAAACAUUGAUUAUGAAAAGGCAGACUGCGUUGGAUAAUCCAGAACAUUGUAUAAGCAAAUAUUGGAUAAGUGAGAUUCUUCUUUAAUAUGAAAUAAUUACUGGGAUAGAAUAAUGCAGAACAAUAUAAUCUCUAAAACCAGGACAGUAAAUAAACAGGGGAAUUCCACACAGGAAACAAUCAGGGCCAGCUAACACCUCCCAACAAAGUAUUCCCAUCAUCAAAGUCUGGCAAAUCCUGUUUUCUCAGGGCCACAGACAGUAGAAGCACAUAAAAUAUCGCAAACAACACCACUCUGAAAACAAGGGAAUUCCAGACAGGAAACAAUCAGGGCCAGCUAACACCUCCCAACAAAAAAUUCACUCAGGGAGGAAACAGCCAGGCUUUAAAGCUGCAAGGCCAUUACAUCCUAAUCAUUUUUCCUAAUUGCAGCAUUCAUACUUGCCUCCAACAAACAAACAAAAAAACCAAUCAGAAAUAUUGUAUAUUCACAACCUUUAGGAAAUAAUAUCCCCUGAUGGCGCAGCAUGUUAAAGCACUGAGCUGCUGAACUUCUGGACCGAAAGGCCACAGGUUUGAAUUGGGGGAGCGGAGAGAGCCCCCACUGUUAGCUCCAGCUUCUGCCAACCCAGAAGUUCGAAAACAUGCAAAUGUGAGUGCAUCAAUAGGUACUGCUCCGGCAGGAAGGUAACACCGCUCCAUGUAGUCAUCCCACAUGACCUUGGAGGAGUCUACGGACAACGCCGGCUCUUCGGCUUAGAAAUGGAGAUGAGCACCAACCCCCAGAGUAAGACACGACUGGACUUAAUGUCUGGGGAAAACCUUGACCCUUGACCUUAACUACCACCAAUUCCUCAAGACUUUAUUUCCCAUACCACCAGACUUCGCCACAGCAACGCGUGGCCGGGCACAGCUAGUCCAGAGUAUAAAAUGAAUAACAUUGUCACACUGUUGUUGUGUGCCUUCCAAGUUCCUUCCCAGGUAUGGUGACCUUAAGGCAAACCUAUAGCAAGAGCAUCUGGGGCUGAAAAUGUGUCUCACCCAAGGUCACUCAGUGGGCUUCCAUAGCCAAAUGGGAAAUCAAAUGCUGGUUUUCAGAAUUGUUGCCCAAUGCUCAAACCAUACCACCAUGCUAGUUUAUGUAACAUAUUACCCUAUGCAGUGGUAUGACAACACUGAUAGCAAGAUGCUCAGUUACUUCAGAUGAAACAAGUGGAUGGAAGAUGUCUUUGGAAAAACAGCAGGGGUAGCCAACAGAGACAAACAUGUGAAAAAGAGACUGUGGGUGUAUGUAUGCUGGAUAUUAAAAGAACUGCUUCGUCUCCCUGAAAAAACAUACCUCCAUGCUUCAUUCAUCUUCAUUAUUUUUUUAUUCUAGUUCAGUAUCACCAUCCCCAUUUCCUCCUCUCCCUCAGCACUGUUAUCAUCAUCAAGUAUACUCAGAGCUCUUUCAGUGUUGUUAUCCAUCCAGAAGUGCUUGUGGUUCAGUCUGAGUUGCUUGUUCCCUCCUAUUUGCAGCUACAGGGACUUGGCUGGGAUGCUUCUCUUGCUGUGGAAACUCACUUGUAAUCUCAGCCUCAGUUUCCUUGGGAUUCAGAAUAUCCCUGGCUAACUCUUCAAUGUUUUUCAAACUCAAUAAGCCAAGGCUUUUGUAGUAGUCAUUCACGACUCUUUCAAGAACUUUUAUGGCAUCAGAGGUUCUGAAGUGGUUCUCCAGGACUUGGGAGAGCUGGUACCACACAGAAUGGGCCUGGGCAAAGGUGGGUUUUGAGGGCUCAUUCAGAGGCGUUAGCUGAGGUUUUUUAAUGGCAAGAUAGAGGACGGAUUCUGGGCCAAUAGAAUAAUCUGACAAUCUGUGGUCCUCAUCUAGCACUUUGCCCUGAAACAACAAAGUGGUCUGAUCCUCAGGGACCUUCAGUUCUUCUGAAACCAGGCUUUUCAACAGAGAGAUGCUCUCGUGACCGGAUACCUGGAGGCAGCACUGCUGUCCUAGCAGCCUCUUCACCUUGAGCUGCAUGGUUUUGCUUGAAGGGCAAGAAAGAUAAUCCCUGGUCAUAUAGAGGAUAGUCAACCCUACAGGUAGGACACAAAGAAAGGAAUUCAUUGGUUGACUUUUUGCUGAUGUCACAAUUCUAUCAGGGUCCAGUGUCUGAUAAAUAUUCCCUCUGUCUAAACUUUACCCACAGAACUAGUAAUUACAACAUGGUUAUCCCAUUUUUGUUCUAUUGUUUCAGGUCACCAGAGGAGACCCCCUAACUCUACAAAAGUGGCUGACACGUAACCACCAGAAGUCCAUGGUUUAAGAGUCAACACACUGUCUGUACUCCUAAACACUUAAUAUUAGGGAGAAAGUACAGUAAAAUUCCUGUGUUAACUACUUC
Molecule: long non-coding RNA, 21276 nt
Organism: Anolis carolinensis (green anole)
Lineage: Eukaryota; Metazoa; Chordata; Lepidosauria; Squamata; Anolidae
Exons: 3
Source: RefSeq, a predicted model, not a curated record